Molecule: long non-coding RNA, 1218 nt
Organism: Oncorhynchus nerka (sockeye salmon)
Lineage: Eukaryota; Metazoa; Chordata; Actinopteri; Salmoniformes; Salmonidae
Exons: 5
Source: RefSeq, a predicted model, not a curated record
AUAGAUGGCACAUAGCCUAUAGCUGUCCAUGGCAGCUCCGCACAUGGCGCGUAAUAGACAAAGCUGUAACAUUGAUUCACGAGCUAAGAGUGGUCCCUGGCCCCUGCUAUAUGGUGAGAGCCUGACUUGACGAAGAAGGGCUCUGGCGUUCGUUCCCUACGCCAUGUUACAUCCUGGCCAGAAACGUCGACUCUCUUGGGAUUUCAUCGUCUCCAUUGAGAAAGGUUCUGUUGAAGCAACAGGAAGAAUGAAUGAACCGGGCAGAUGUUCAUGGUGGGGGCUCAGAGCAGUGUGAAUAACUACUACUGACGUAACUCACAAAAACAGAUGGACGUGACAAAUGAAGAGUGCUGAAUGUAUUUCUAUCCUCAUUUACAAUUACAUGUGGAAUUGUUGUAUUCAUUUGAUGGGUAUAGACUGUAAGUCAUGUCCCUUUGAUGCACACGCUCAUAAGAUCUCAAAUGCUGAAAUAUCUUUUCAUUGGUUAUAAAUGUUUUUGCCCCGUUUUUUUUGUUGUUGCUGUCUUUAAUUUAGAGAUGAAUUCUGAUGGACAAUUAUAAAAUGGCACUAUAGUUGGUAAAGUUAAGUCAUAAGCUAUCUAAGCAGGAUGAUAAAUAAAAUAGGCUACCUCUUAAUGAAUAACCCCUGUUUGAGUAAUAUCCUAUCACCUGAAGAGAUAUAUUAAUGUAAGAAUAUUCUGUAAAUUUGCUAGUAUGCCAAAUAGGCUACGUUACAAAAGUGAGAUAUAAACGUCUGAAACGCAAGUUCAUCCAAGCCAUAACGUAGGCGCUACCUAUCACGUAUAUAUCGAAUGAUCUUCACUUCUGUCAAAGAAUGCAAAUGGUUGAAUGAUGACUUGUCAAAAGUCAAUCGUUUUUUCCUACUGAGCACAUUUUGCUGAGCACAUUGCAUUGGUAAAAUGCUCUAAGGCAUUUGUGGUUUGUUCAUAUUUCAUGUUUAGUUUACAUGUCGGUGCAGGCAUACAGCUAAUAGACUAUGGCGACAGCGGGGUGUCUUCAAGGCAAGAAUAUCCCAGGAUACACUGUUGUGAGACGCUCUGUCUGGAUUGCAGGCUGACGCACUGUACAUCAUAAUGCCCAACAACAAGUCUACAUUUUUCCACAGUCGUGACAUCGCGCAAAGGAGACGCAUAUUCUCUCAAUAAUCAUGUUCGAGAUGUCAUUGUGGCUCACAAAUGUACAGUGCAACGGAAUAAAA